This 254-nucleotide ribosomal RNA is filed under the name uncultured bacterium. RNAcentral describes it as "partial 16S ribosomal RNA". It matches the Rfam family "Bacterial small subunit ribosomal RNA", at positions 524 to 776 of the family's 1533-position model. The record is from RNAcentral.
UACGUAGGGUGCGAGCGUUGUCCGGAAUUAUUGGGCGUAAAGAGCUCGUAGGCGGUGUGUCACGUCGGCCGUGAAAACCUGCAGCUUAACUGUGGGCGUGCGGUCGAUACGGGCAUCACUGGAGUUCGGCAGGGGAGACUGGAAUUCCUGGUGUAGCGGUGAAAUGCGCAGAUAUCAGGAGGAACACCGGUGGCGAAGGCGGGUCUCUGGGCCGUAACUGACGCUGAGGAACGAAAGCAUGGGGAGCGAACAGG